RNAcentral lists this microRNA precursor (89 nucleotides) under Medicago truncatula (barrel medic). Its description in RNAcentral is "MIR2617 microRNA precursor family". It matches the Rfam family "MIR2617 microRNA precursor family". Lineage: Eukaryota; Viridiplantae; Streptophyta; Magnoliopsida; Fabales; Fabaceae. The record is from Rfam by way of RNAcentral.
AUGUGAUGUGACAUGCCCGUUUGGGUUUUAUUCUGAUAUUGAAUUAUUUAUUAUUUAAUUGAAUUUGGAAAACGGGGUGUUACAAUGCC